This 460-nucleotide ribosomal RNA is filed under the name uncultured bacterium. RNAcentral describes it as "partial 16S ribosomal RNA". It matches the Rfam family "Bacterial small subunit ribosomal RNA", at positions 338 to 795 of the family's 1533-position model. The record is from RNAcentral.
CCUACGGGAGGCAGCAGUGAGGAAUAUUGGUCAAUGGACGAGAGUCUGAACCAGCCAAGUAGCGUGAAGGAUGACUGCCCUAUGGGUGGUAAACUUCUUUUAUAUGGGAAUAAAACAUGGUAUGCAUACCCUCUUGUAUGUACCAUAUGAAUAAGGAUCGGCUAACUCCGUGCCAGCAGCCGCGGUAAUACGGAGGAUCCGAGCGUUAGCCGGAUUUAUUGGGUUUAAAGGGCGCGUAGGUGGAUUGUUAAGUCAGUUGUGAAAGUUUGCGGCUUAACCGUAAAAUUGCAGCUGAAACUGGCCGUCUUGAGUACAGUAGAGGUGGGCGGAAUUCGUGGUGUAGCGGUGAAAUGCUUAGAUAUGACGAAGAACUCCGAUUGCGAAGGCAGCUCACUGGACUGAAACUGACACUGAUGCUCGAAAGUGUGGGUAUCAAACAGGAUUAGAUACCCCAGUAGUC